UUCUUAUAGAAUUCAUUAUAAGUAAAAUCUGCUAAAUGACCUUUUUAAUAGCCGCAAUUUAUUUGUGCUAAGGUAGCAUAAUCACUUGCCUUUUAAUUAAAGGAUAGAAUGAAUGAUAUUACAUUUAUAUUAAUUUCCCAAAAUAAUAUUUCUAACUUUCACUUAAAGUAAAAAUUCUUUAAUUUUACAGAAAGACGACAAGACCCUAUUGAACUUUACUUUAGUUAAGCUGGGGUAGCUAAUUAAUUCACAUUUUAAAUACAAAUCAACAAAACGACCUAAUUUAAUUCAUCUUACGAUCAAGUUACCAUAGGGAUAACAGCGUAAUUUUCUCAAAAAGCUCUUAUUCAAGAGAAAGAUUGCGACCUCGAUGUUGAAUUAUCUUCCUAUUUGAUGCAACAACCAAAUAAGGUGGUCUGUUCGACCAUUAAAUUUUUACAU
Molecule: ribosomal RNA, 441 nt
Filed under: Oecobius sp. TAB-2009
Lineage: Eukaryota; Metazoa; Arthropoda; Arachnida; Araneae; Oecobiidae
Description: partial 16S ribosomal RNA
Rfam family: Bacterial large subunit ribosomal RNA
Source: RNAcentral